UGGAGAGUUUGAUCCUGGCUCAGAUUGAACGCUGGCGGCAGGCCUAACACAUGCAAGUCGAGCGGUUGAGGUAGCUUGCUACCGAUGCAGCGGCGGACGGGUGAGUAAUACAUGGGAAUCUGCCUGGUAGUGGGGGACAACGUUUCGAAAGGAACGCUAAUACCGCAUACGCCCUACGGGGGAAAGGGGGGGAUCUUCGGACCUCUCGCUAUCAGAUGAGCCCAUGUCGGAUUAGCUAGUUGGUGGGGUAAAGGCUCACCAAGGCGACGAUCCGUAACUGGUCUGAGAGGAUGAUCAGUCACACUGGAACUGAGACACGGUCCAGACUCCUACGGGAGGCAGCAGUGGGGAAUAUUGGACAAUGGGCGCAAGCCUGAUCCAGCCAUGCCGCGUGUGUGAAGAAGGCCUUAGGGUUGUAAAGCACUUUCAGUGGGGAGAAAGGUAAUUCACUUAAUACGUGAGUUAAUUGAUGUUACCCACAGAAGAAGCACCGGCUAACUCCGUGCCAGCAGCCGCGGUA
This 520-nucleotide ribosomal RNA is filed under the name Cellvibrio sp. CL-5. RNAcentral describes it as "bacterial SSU rRNA". It matches the Rfam family "Bacterial small subunit ribosomal RNA", at positions 1 to 522 of the family's 1533-position model. The record is from RNAcentral. Lineage: Bacteria; Pseudomonadati; Pseudomonadota; Gammaproteobacteria; Cellvibrionales; Cellvibrionaceae.